UCGGGAAUUUUGGGCAAUGGGCGCAAGCCUGACCCAGCAACGCCGCGUGAGGGAUGAAGGCCUUCGGGUCGUAAACCUCUGUCGGGAGGGAAGAUGGGUCUGCAGGCCAAUACCCUGUGGAUUUGACGGUACCUCCAAAGGAAGCGCCGGCUAACUCCGUGCCAGCAGCCGCGGUAAUACGGAGGGCGCAAGCGUUGUUCGGAAUCACUGGGCGUAAAGCGCGUGUAGGCGGCUUGGCAAGUCGGUUGUGAAAUCCCGAGGCUCAACCUCGGAACUGCAACCGAAACUGCCUCGCUAGAGUCCCGGAGAGGGUGGCGGAAUUUCCGGUGUAGAGGUGAAAUUCGUAGAUAUCGGAAGGAACACCAGUGGCGAAGGCGGCCACCUGGACGGUGACUGACGCUGAGACGCGAAAGCGUGGGGAGCAAACAGGAUUAGAUACCCCCGUAGUCC
Molecule: ribosomal RNA, 450 nt
Filed under: uncultured prokaryote
Description: bacterial SSU rRNA
Rfam family: Bacterial small subunit ribosomal RNA
Source: RNAcentral